UUCCAUAUGGUGGUAUAAUCACUAGAAUACUGAAAGCCUACGAUAUUCCAAUACCAUCCGACGAAGAAGUAAUAAAAGUAGAUAGGUUUAGCAUAAUAAAUAAAAAUCUACUUCACCGAUUGAGAUGUGUUUAUAGAAACGGUAACUGGGUUAGAAUGCCUAGAAGAACCGAUCCCCCUCAACCUGAACCAGAACUGGAAACACCAGUCUUUAGGGGUACUCAAUCUCCUCCGAUCUGUCCCUUUGAG
This 248-nucleotide long non-coding RNA is filed under the name Musa acuminata (dwarf banana). Its description in RNAcentral is "long non-coding RNA (MACU_LNC001350)". The record is from RNAcentral. Lineage: Eukaryota; Viridiplantae; Streptophyta; Magnoliopsida; Zingiberales; Musaceae.